This 3417-nucleotide unclassified non-coding RNA is filed under the name Hevea brasiliensis (rubber tree). The record is from RNAcentral. Lineage: Eukaryota; Viridiplantae; Streptophyta; Magnoliopsida; Malpighiales; Euphorbiaceae.
AGGGGAAAAAAAAAACAUUGCUUUGCCGAGUACUGCCAGAACCAUAUCCCAUCAAUCCCCCAAAUUCUAUCACACCUCGAGGUUCACAUGAGUGAAUCAAGAAAAACAAAUAUUAGAUGUCACAGAACGGAAUCAAAUUACACGACUUAAAGGUUGCAGUGUAUAUUACUUAACAAGAUAACAAAUUAGUAUUUUCUUAUCUUUAGUUAAUACGAAAGGGUUCAGAAAAAACUAAAGAGAUUCACACUCAAAAGGGUUGCUGACAUAGCAUGAACAAAAGUUGUUAGAUCUUAUAAGAAAAAGCCUUCUCACAAUACCCUUCCCCUCAUUUCAGUUUUAACAACCAAACUCAUGUGUUCAUAAACACACAAAAGAACUGUAUCCAAAUAUUGAUAAUUUUAGAUGCUCCAGAAUCUUAGCAAGGUAAGCGUGUUCAAGUUUCGAUUGCACUAAUUUUGUAUAUAUUUCAUUUACUUAUUUAAUAUUCCUAUGGCUCUGUUAUGUUACCAGGAAUAAACAAACUAAAAUGUUCUCACAUUUCCAUUCCUAGUUUCUAACACCCAACACCCAUGUAGGGAUAAAGUCAGGGAAGAGCAUUUCAUUCCUGACUUCUUAUCUCAUUCUCCACAUUCCAAGUUGCCAUAUACUCAUGGAAAGGGCAUUCCCAGUCCUAGUCUUCAAUUCCCACCAGUCAAACAGAGCCUAGAAGAUAGACGGGGCCCAAACCAUCUUGAGGAAUGAGACCAGUCAAACAGAGCCUAGAAGAUAGACGGGGCCCAAACCAUCUUGAGGAAUGAGGAUGCACUAUCAUGAAGGAGUUGACAAUAAGUCUCCAUGGCAAACACUUUUAACCCUCAAAAGAUGCCUCACUUCUCAAGAAGAUGAUCACAACAAUACUAACACCUAAAAAAUGUUUAUGUUAGCAAAAAUAUAAAUAAAUACGUACAUACACAUGUAUGCGUAUACAUGCACAUAAACAUGCACAUACAAGCAUAAGAAGACUAACUAAUGAAAUAUUUAUGUAAUGUCCCAAAUAGGCACAUAGGUGGGUUAAGGGAUAAGUAAAUGGCUUACAUAAACCGAAACCUAACUACUAAACAAACCUUGGUUAACCAUUUUGUGCCAGGUAUUUUAAGGCCUGAAUGUUAUUUGCGCUAUUUAGGCUUCGGUGUUAAAAUUAGUAUCAAAGCCGCCCUGGGUCAAAACAUUGUGCAAAACUGGUGAGCUUGUGAGGAAAGAGCUACCCAUGGUUAGAGACGACGAUAAGCCGUCCAAUACACCAACAAACCAUAAUAUCUAAGAGUUCGGUACUCACUUGGCCAUCGUAUCCAACACAACAUCAAAAUGAGCAUGGAUUGUGACGAGGACGUAACAAAUUUUAAGUAGCAAGAUUGUAACGUCCCACAUCAGUGGGUUAAGGAAAAGAAAAUGGUUUAUAUACAUCAAGGCCAAACUACAAUAAAUAAAUUGGGUUAACCAUUUUGGACUAGUGGUUUAGGAUUUGAAAGUUAUUUGAGCAUGUUGAAUCUAGGGAGUUACAAUUUAAGCCUAAUGACCUAACAAGUCAUGUACAUUGUUACAUAUCCUUCCUCUUUAAGGACUUUCAUCAAAGAGGUGGAAGUAUCAUGAGAAAUAAGGUAUACACCAUCACCAUUCUCUGUCCUCGACACUUCUUUGAGAAACUCAACUUCUCAAGACAUGUAUUAGCCUUUGGUGAAACCAUAUAUAGCUUUCUAGAAUAAGGGAAGAGUUAAUACCCACAUUAGACAUCCUUCAGUUUUCAUAACAUGUUGCAAUUUGAAUUUUCUGUGACAAAGAAAAGUUAUCAUGCACCUUACUUAAAUACAACUGUUACUGCCCACACAGCAAAUGGGAAAACAAGUUUAAUUAAAUGAUAGGCUCUAUAUCUCCUCCACAAAACAUUGGGAUAUAGUUAACUGACAGGUUAGUUCAAAGAGAUUAAUGAGGGCCUAGUGAAAAGUGAAAACAACAACUGUAUGCAUGUCAAAUUUGAUACAAGACUUAAUAAUGUGCCAACAUAAAAUAAAUGGAUAAUACUUGAAGCAUUGCUUAGGAAGGGCCAACAAAUACGAUCCUAAUGAAACACACUGAUAAUAAAGUUCUCAAUAAACUUAGCAAUUUAUAACAGUUGUUAGGCUCAAUUUCUACAGAAGCUACAAAGACUUAUGGGGUAAUAACUCAAGCAUCAUCAAUUUACAUGGAGAUACAUAAUACUGCAAAUUCAUAUACAAAUUGCAAAAUAGGAAUUCCAAUUGUGACAUAAUUCAUCAAAACAAAUGGUAUUUACUUCAUACCAUGAUAAAGGUAAAUAAAUAAAUGAAUAUACAUAUAUUCAACAGCCUCAACUUGGCACCAAAAUGAAAAUAUCCAAAUGUUAAAGUACAUUCCCAAAUACUAUCAGCAACCAACUGCAAAAAUGGAAUAAGAUACUACCUUCCAUUUAAGUGGAUUCAACGAACAAAAAGGAAAACAAAAUGUGGAAUGCCAGCUGUACAAAAUAAAAGAGGAUUUUCCCUAACAGAAGAGGUAAAAAUGAUUUUUGCAGUGUUCAAUAUGGUGAGAAGGUAGAUUGCUAACAAGCACAUCAAUUUCAUACCAUGUACAAGUCAUGAAAUCCCAUGUACAAUUAAACUUUAUUUUCACUUUGAAAUGUAUUUCCAAAGACCUCUCCAGGAUAACUCCCCCAGUCCCCAAACACAAACACACCUAAAACAAAGGAGUAGAUCUAAACAGAGAAAUCAGCAGAACCAAAAAUGGCUAUUGUGACUUGGGUGAAAUAGCAAGUACACAUGAAAAACUAUAUGCGUACAUACAUACCUCAUAUGUGCACAUAUAAUAUGUAGAUAGAAGUGGAAAAGAAAUCAAUUUAUCACUCAUGACAUCUACAUAUCCUCUUGUGAAUCCAAAUCAAGAGGUCCUUUAGCAACUCUUGAUAAAUAAUAGAACAACAAAACUAACUGCAAUCCAGGUCAAUUUAUACUCAUACUGGCUCCUAAAGUAACUACUGCAAUAUAACAAAAAUAUUACUGUAUAUCAAAAUUAUCCCGAUUCCAAUUUCAAUCUCAUUUUGCAUCAAACCUAUAAUUAUUUUUCACCCCAAAAAUAUUGAAGUAAAAACACGUACAAAAAUAUACUUGAAAAAUUCUAUCGUGGCAAGAAUGUCAGAAAUAAAAGAAUAUCUCAAAUAUCCAAUUAAAAAACAACGAAAUAGCCACAUGCAAUAACAGACAUAGGCACAAGCAGAAAAAUCAACCACAAAGGACAAACCUUUCACAGGCAUCCUCAAGAGAAGAAAAUGGCCUCUUGACAUCCGGGUGGCAGACCCGCCAAGCGUCCUGGUAAGCCAUCUGGAGCUCCACCUGGUUGAGUGGGGGCCGGAUCCCCUUCUGCUGCUGC